CGGGAUGUAGCGCAGCUCGGUAGCGCGCUCGGCUGGGGGCCGAGAGGGCGCAGGUUCAAAUCCUGUCUUCCCGA
This is a non-coding RNA of Bacteroidetes bacterium MedPE-SWsnd-G1, 74 nucleotides long. The record is from Rfam. NCBI's taxonomy places the organism in Bacteria, Pseudomonadati, Bacteroidota.